This 226-nucleotide long non-coding RNA is filed under the name Manihot esculenta (cassava). Its description in RNAcentral is "long non-coding RNA (MESC_LNC013109)". The record is from RNAcentral. Lineage: Eukaryota; Viridiplantae; Streptophyta; Magnoliopsida; Malpighiales; Euphorbiaceae.
GAGAAAGAGAUUCUAGCUGAAGUGUGAGUCUAAAUUAGUUUGUUCAGAAUUGAUCAUUGAUUAUUAAAGACUCCUAUUUGAUUUCAAUAAAUUAGUUUUGGUUAUGGAAGACGCUUCUCACAACCAAAUUCCUCCUUAGUUCUAGUUUAAUUAGUAAACGUUCGCUAAUCAAACACUAAUCAACAAGUUGCCAAGAAACGUCCUUGGGGCAUUGUAGCAUCGAACA